Molecule: transfer-messenger RNA, 369 nt
Filed under: Actinomycetes bacterium
Lineage: Bacteria; Bacillati; Actinomycetota; Actinomycetes
Also listed under: 1 other name
Description: Actinobacteria bacterium transfer-messenger RNA
Rfam family: transfer-messenger RNA
About the family: Bacterial tmRNA, also known as 10Sa RNA or SsrA, is named for its dual tRNA and mRNA-like properties. Its role is to liberate the mRNA from a stalled ribosome. To accomplish this part of the tmRNA is used as a reading frame that ends in a translation stop signal.
Source: RNAcentral
GGGGGUGACAGGUUUCGACGGGCAGAUGUCUGGACCGGAGAAGCGUGCCGAGAAUCCAUGGCUGAUCUCGUGAACCUUGCCAUGGGAACAACAACUGCCAACAAGCAGCAGUCCGCGUUCGCCCUCGCCGCCUGAGCGAGUGUGACGCCGUCAGCCCGGGAGGUCUCCGACCCGGUUCCUGACGUCAGCUAGGAGACUCACCGACCGCUCCGGCCGCGGGGGCGGAAGGGACACCACACAACGGCUGGGCCGAGUUCCCUGCAGUGCCACACGAAGCAGGGAGGCCGAGAACUCGCCAGCGUGGCUACGCACGUAGAAGGACGCGAAGGGCCUGUUCGGACCCGGGUUCGAUUCCCGGCACCUCCACCA